GGCCCGGCCCGGCCGGGGCGGCUCGUCCGCGGGCUCCUCGCGGGAAGGAAAAGAGAAACCGCGGCGCCAUGCGAGCAGGCAGCGAGGAAGAACCGAGGGGCAGGCUGGAGCCUUAGUGCGGGACGGGGCAGGCGGCUGGGGCGGAGAGCGAGAAGGCAGGAAUCGGAAAGAGGGAGCCUGAGGGAAAAACGUGGUGGAAACGGACAAAGGAACUAGUGACAAAACACACAGCUCGAACUCAGAAGUGGAAAGAGAGCUGUGAUCUGCUAGAGCUCUGCAUAAAGUGAGAUGGGCUGUUCCUGUAGUUCUCUGAAGAACCUGUCUUCCAGAAAGGCAGAGGAGCUUCACACAGCAGAAGAUAUCUGGGCAACGUAAGUUGUGUUAAAGAAGAGAGCAAGAAAUGGGCAAUUGUAUUAUAGGGAACGACUUUAUUAAACAACUCGUGGAAAAAAUGUUUCUUCUAACUGCUUUCCCCUAGGUGGCACCAUGACCCGCAGAACAGAUCUUGUAGACUUCUGAAGUUCUAACUAUAGAUGUUUCAGCUGAGUGAUGCAAACAUUUUCAAACCCUGCUUGGUCACCGUUUUUUUUAACAACUUGUACCAUUUCUUUGGAGAAAACACUGUUGCCCUUCUAUGUCAGAAACACUAAUGAUUAGGACAUGCACAAUAAGUGAUUUUAGUAGUCGGAACUGUUAAUUAUUUGUAAAAUUAAAUAUCUACAUGAGAUAGAUUCAUAUUUAAUUCUUUUGCAUUAAAGGGAAGGAGGACACUGACACCUGUACAGUACAAUAGACUAUGGGACUACCCCUCCUCUCUUGGGUAAUAGAAAACUAUUGUUGUCUGUAUGGAGCUUCACAUUACUACAUACUUCAGUUCAUGUAAUAAAAGAAUGAUGCAAUUAUUGUCUCUGGAUGUGAUGAGAGCUAAUGAAAAUUUGUUACUAUGAGAAGUUUUUGCUGCUUCCUUCUCUCUGGAGCAUCAUUGUGAUUUCUUUAAUGAUUUUAAAAUAAAUCCAAAGCAUUUUGUUGAAAUUAAUACAGUGAGAUCAGAACUGUGCCCUAGAACUCUCUUGUAGACUGUAUCACAGCAUACCUGAACAUAAAGAUCAUGCUGUUCAUUUUUGUCACAUAAAAAUAUGAUCUAGAAAUGACAGUAAACAACAAAUAAUGAAAUAUCAAUAGUAAUGCUCUUAAUUCUAUAAUUUUCAAUGAAAUUUUAAUGCUUAUGUGGUUGUAAUCCUCUAUUCACUGUUAGGUGCAGA
Molecule: long non-coding RNA, 1262 nt
Organism: Rhea pennata
Lineage: Eukaryota; Metazoa; Chordata; Aves; Rheiformes; Rheidae
Exons: 4
Source: RefSeq, a predicted model, not a curated record